GGUUCAGGAUGAACGCUAGCUACAGGCUUAACACAUGCAAGUCGAGGGGCAUCAGGAAGAAAGCUUGCUUUCUUUGCUGGCGACCGGCGCACGGGUGAGUAACACGUAUCCAACCUGCCCUUUACUCGGGGAUAGCCUUUCGAAAGAAAGAUUAAUACCCGAUAGCAUAAUGAUUCCGCAUGGUUUCAUUAUUAAAGGAUUCCGGUAAAGGAUGGGGAUGCGUUCCAUUAGGUUGUUGGUGAGGUAACGGCCCACCAAGCCUUCGAUGGAUAGGGGUUCUGAGAGGAAGGUCCCCCACAUUGGAACUGAGACACGGUCCAAACUCCUACGGGAGGCAGCAGUGAGGAAUAUUGGUCAAUGGGCGCUAGCCUGAACCAGCCAAGUAGCGUGAAGGAUGAAGGCUCUAUGGGUCGUAAACUUCUUUUAUAUAAGAAUAAAGUGCAGUAUGUAUACUGUUUUGUAUGUAUUAUAUGAAUAAGGAUCGGCUAACUCCGUGCCAGCAGCCGCGGUAAUACGGAGGAUCCGAGCGUUAUCCGGAUUUAUUGGGUUUAAAGGGAGCGUAGGUGGACUGGUAAGUCAGUUGUGAAAGUUUGCGGCUCAACCGUAAAAUUGCAGUUGAUACUGUCAGUCUUGAGUACAGUAGAGGUGGGCGGAAUUCGUGGUGUAGCGGUGAAAUGCUUAGAUAUCACGAAGAACUCCGAUUGCGAAGGCAGCUCACUGGACUGCAACUGACACUGAUGCUCGAAAGUGUGGGUAUCAAACAGGAUUAGAUACCCUGGUAGUCCACACAGUAAACGAUGAAUACUCGCUGUUUGCGAUAUACAGUAAGCGGCCAAGCGAAAGCAUUAAGUAUUCCACCUGGGGAGUACGCCGGCAACGGUGAAACUCAAAGGAAUUGACGGGGGCCCGCACAAGCGGAGGAACAUGUGGUUUAAUUCGAUGAUACGCGAGGAACCUUACCCGGGCUUAAAUUGCAGUGGAAUGAUGUGGAAACAUGUCAGUGAGCAAUCACCGCUGUGAAGGUGCUGCAUGGUUGUCGUCAGCUCGUGCCGUGAGGUGUCGGCUUAAGUGCCAUAACGAGCGCAACCCUUAUCUUUAGUUACUAACAGGUUAUGCUGAGGACUCUAGAGAGACUGCCGUCGUAAGAUGUGAGGAAGGUGGGGAUGACGUCAAAUCAGCACGGCCCUUACGUCCGGGGCUACACACGUGUUACAAUGGGGGGUACAGAAGGCAGCUAGCGGGUGACCGUAUGCUAAUCCCAAAAUCCUCUCUCAGUUCGGAUCGAAGUCUGCAACCCGACUUCGUGAAGCUGGAUUCGCUAGUAAUCGCGCAUCAGCCAUGGCGCGGUGAAUACGUUCCCGGGCCUUGUACACACCGCCCGUCAAGCCAUGGGAGCCGGGGGUACCUGAAGUACGUAACCGCAAGGAUCGUCCUAGGGUAAAACUG
RNAcentral lists this ribosomal RNA (1446 nucleotides) under uncultured organism. RNAcentral describes it as "SSU rRNA". It matches the Rfam family "Bacterial small subunit ribosomal RNA". The record is from RNAcentral.